Mus musculus (house mouse) is the source of this 2258-nucleotide long non-coding RNA. RefSeq annotates it as predicted gene, 54165. The record is from RefSeq and is a predicted model, not a curated record. NCBI's taxonomy places the organism in Eukaryota, Metazoa, Chordata, Mammalia, Rodentia, Muridae. The transcript has 3 exons.
UUAUGCUUGUCCGCAGUGUCCCAGUUGUGGUUACUAACGUCAUAGCUCCUUUGAAAAUGCAAGGAUGUGUCCACGCUUCUGAAAACUGCUGGCCACACGCACCUUCUCAGUCAGGUUAACUGCAGCCAGAAGCGGCGGCAAAGACACUAAUGAAGCCCAUUCCAUUGAUCCCGGCGUUCUCUCCCCACACAGUGACUCGGUCUCUGAACUGGAGAUGGGUUUCAGCAGGAAGGGAUUGCAGCAUCCCUGAGCAGCGGGCCAUAAUUAUAAUUACAGGUGUGGCAGGCAAAGACAGCAGGAGAGGGUGAGCUCAUAAGAAACAAAGAUUCGCUCUGCUGGAUCAUCUAUCUUCACUGGAGAACAAAGAGCAGACGCAUAAAUAAGGGAGUUACCAUGUAAACAAAUUGAGCAACCACCAACACACAACAGAGUGCGUGUUCCUCAGCCAAUGUAUACACGCCUCUGUUACAGGAAGCUCUUGCCUGUUCCCUGGUAGAGUGCCCCUAGAAACUUCCAUCCAAGGUGGAGAGACAUUAUCAACUAAGGACUUGUAAUCGACUUGCAUCUCUUCCAUCAGCAAUGUCUGCCACAAGUGAAAAGGACAUGCUUGGAAUCUGCACCUUAAGCCACAGUUGGCUUUAUUCUUCUAGUUACACCGUUGUGGCCAUUGGACCUGAGGUGACUGAAAGAAUAGUAUCGUAUACUACUGAUGUGCUUACGCUGUUUGAGACUGGGUCCCGGAUGGGGAAAAGCUUGCAGAGAAAUCCAGAUACUGGUCUACGGGGAAGGUGUUUUCGAUGCCUUUAGUAUUCUGCUGGAACUGGAUUCAACUUCUUAUGCUGUCAAGAAGCUAGAUCAUUCAGAAACCAGCAAAGCCCUUGAAAACUGGACCAUCCGCUUCCUGUUUGCAAAGACAUAUAAGGACACAUUUCCAACUGGCUAUCUAACUGAGUUCUAGAAGAGGGAGAAAAUGCAAACAUCUCCAUUUAUGGAAUGAUAUAAUUAAGGAUUAUUAGAGUUUAAUUACUUACUAGGUUCCAUGAAAUGGCAAAACACGGAAUGUCAUUUUGUAUACUGUAAAUCUUUCUUCUACCAAUGGCUUCCAGGCAACAGCAUAAAUAUAUCUCUUUAUGCUCCUGAAGCUACUAUGUUGUCUUUCAGAUAUAGUGACAUUUUUGUGCUUGGAAUCUAAGCCUCUCAGUCUUAAAUGAACAAUUGCAGGAUUGUUGCAGGCUUCCUGCUUCUUCAUGGCUUACUCAAGCUUCCUCCUAUGAAAAAGUGCUUUACACAAAUAUCAAAUAAUUGGAGGGUUGAGGAGAGCCAUUAAAGGACUUUCUAUUUCUGUAUUCAUAUUUUCAAUGCUGAAAAAUAUCAUAUAAUAUUCUUCAAAUAAUAGAGGAGUUCUUUUAAAACAAACAAACAAACAAAAAGACCCUUCAAUGCUGUGAUUGUCCUGGCCUUUAAUAACAGGCCUCUGUGGGUGAUGACAAGAAGCCUUUAGGAUAUACCUAACGAGGCCUUUAAGCUUUCAUUGUUACUCAGUCCCACAAGAUCUGUCAUGUUUUAUUGGCUUUUCUGGUUAGUCAUUGUAUGGUUUGGCAGCGUAGUGGAAUUUCACAUUUUUGCAAACAAUAGUAUGAACAAAGAUUGGGCUUUUCUUUCUGCUAUGUAUUAUUUUAUUUGCUCUGAGUGUCCAGAAACCCUCCCAUAUAGCCAACCAAUUACAUAGCCUGUCUUGUAUGAGCCGUAUCCUUUUGAUCAGAGGUGUUAUAUUCAUGACAUUGACUCAUAGACUUUCCAGGUAGAAUGGUAUAGUGGAAUAUAUGGUAGGGAGUAAACACUGGGUUAGUGGCAUGGAAUAGAAGUUGCAGGGGCAGUCAUUCUAAAGGAGACAGACACCUGAUGAGAAUGACUUGACAAUGGAAAAUUUAUAAUUUGUUGUACCUUUCUGUGUGCCCAGAUGUGUAUAUAUGAUACAAAGUAGUUAGCGCUCUCUCUCUCUCUCUCUCUCUCUCUCUCUCUCUCUCUCUCUCUGUGUGUGUGUGUGUGUGUGUGUGUGUGUGGUGUGCCAACUUGUGCAGACCUGAUACACAGCUGAUUGAUUCUUUAGCAUACUGAAUGUAAGCAGUAGGACACUGGUACAUACAAUGUGUACAGCAUAGCAUAGACCCUCAGUAAAUAUUAACAAUCUUCCCAACCAAUGGACAGAAGCAGCUGACCCCUGUUGUUGAAUUAGAGAAGACUGAAAGAAGCUGAGG